Molecule: ribosomal RNA, 497 nt
Filed under: uncultured bacterium
Lineage: Bacteria
Description: partial 16S ribosomal RNA
Rfam family: Bacterial small subunit ribosomal RNA
Source: RNAcentral
GACGAACGCUGGCGGCGUGCCUAAUACAUGCAAGUUGAGCGCUGAAGGUUGGUACUUGUACCAACUGGAUGAGCAGCGAACGGGUGAGUAACGCGUGGGGAAUCUGCCUUUGAGCGGGGGACAACAUUUGGAAACGAAUGCUAAUACCGCAUAAAAACUUUAAACACAAGUUUUAAGUUUGAAAGAUGCAAUUGCAUCACUCAAAGAUGAUCCCGCGUUGUAUUAGCUAGUUGGUGAGGUAAAGGCUCACCCAGGCGAUGAUACAUAGCCGACCUGAGAGGGUGAUCGGCCACAAUGGGACUGAGACACGGCCCAAACUCCUACGGGAGGCAGCAGUAGGGAAUCUUCGGAAAUGGACGAAAGUCUGACCGAGCAACGCCGCGUGAGUGAAGAAGGUUUUCGGAUCGUAAAACUCUGUUGGUAGAGAAGAACGUUGGUGAGAGUGGAAAGCUCAUCAAGUGACGGUAACUACACAGAAAGGGACGGCUAACUACGUG